CCCUUCGGGGUGAUUCUUGUGGAACGAGCGGCGGACGGGUGAGUAACACGUGGGCAACCUGCCUGUAAGAUUGGGAUAACUCGCGGAAACGUGAGCUAAUACCGAAUAAUACUUUUUCUCUCAUGAGGGAAAGUUGAAAGAUGGCUUUUGCUAUCACUUACAGAUGGGCCCGCGGCGCAUUAGCUAGUUGGUAGGGUAACGGCCUACCAAGGCGACGAUGCGUAGCCGACCUGAGAGGGUGAUCGGCCACACUGGGACUGAGACACGGCCCAGACUCCUACGGGAGGCAGCAGUAGGGAAUCUUCCGCAAUGGACGAAAGUCUGACGGAGCAACGCCGCGUGAACGAUGAAGGUCUUCGGAUCGUAAAGUUCUGUUGUUAGGGAAGAACAAGUACCGUUCAAAUAGGGCGGUACCUUGACGGUACCUAACGAGGAAGCCCCGGCUAACUACGUGCCAGCAGCCGCGGUAAUACGUAGGGGGCAAGCGUUGUCCGGAAUUAUUGGGCGUAAAGCGCGCGCAGGCGGUUCCUUAAGUCUGAUGUGAAAGCCCACGGCUUAACCGUGGAGGGUCAUUGGAAACUGGGGAACUUGAGUACAGAAGAGGAGAGUGGAAUUCCACGUGUAGCGGUGAAAUGCGUAGAUAUGUGGAGGAACACCAGUGGCGAAGGCGACUCUCUGGUCUGUAACUGACGCUGAGGCGCGAAAGCGUGGGGAGCGAACAGGAUUAGAUACCCUGGUAGUCCACGCCGUAAACGAUGAGUGCUAGGUGUU
Molecule: ribosomal RNA, 771 nt
Filed under: Bacillaceae bacterium AD45
Lineage: Bacteria; Bacillati; Bacillota; Bacilli; Caryophanales; Bacillaceae
Description: bacterial SSU rRNA
Rfam family: Bacterial small subunit ribosomal RNA
Source: RNAcentral